Molecule: ribosomal RNA, 625 nt
Filed under: Curtobacterium sp. Ri3Pw_6231
Lineage: Bacteria; Bacillati; Actinomycetota; Actinomycetes; Micrococcales; Microbacteriaceae
Description: bacterial SSU rRNA
Rfam family: Bacterial small subunit ribosomal RNA
Source: RNAcentral
UGCAGCAACGCCGCGUGAGGGAUGACGGCCUUCGGGUUGUAAACCUCUUUUAGUAGGGAAGAAGGGAGCUUCGGUUCUUGACGGUACCUGCAGAAAAAGCACCGGCUAACUACGUGCCAGCAGCCGCGGUAAUACGUAGGGUGCAAGCGUUGUCCGGAAUUAUUGGGCGUAAAGAGCUCGUAGGCGGUUUGUCGCGUCUGCUGUGAAAUCCCGAGGCUCAACCUCGGGCUUGCAGUGGGUACGGGCAGACUAGAGUGCGGUAGGGGAGAUUGGAAUUCCUGGUGUAGCGGUGGAAUGCGCAGAUAUCAGGAGGAACACCGAUGGCGAAGGCAGAUCUCUGGGCCGUAACUGACGCUGAGGAGCGAAAGCAUGGGGAGCGAACAGGAUUAGAUACCCUGGUAGUCCAUGCCGUAAACGUUGGGCGCUAGAUGUAGGGACCUUUCCACGGUUUCUGUGUCGUAGCUAACGCAUUAAGCGCCCCGCCUGGGGAGUACGGCCGCAAGGCUAAAACUCAAAGGAAUUGACGGGGGCCCGCACAAGCGGCGGAGCAUGCGGAUUAAUUCGAUGCAACGCGAAGAACCUUACCAAGGCUUGACAUACACCGGAAACGGCCAGAGAUGGUCGC